ACAUGCCUACAACAUAUGGUUAAUACAUCGGAUCCCAUUAGACUUUUGCAGCUAAGCACGCUCAUGAUAGAUUAGUAUUGGGAUGGGUGACCGCUUGAGAAGUCCUACUAUUUUACAUGCC
This is a non-coding RNA of Picea glauca (white spruce), 121 nucleotides long. The record is from Rfam. Lineage: Eukaryota; Viridiplantae; Streptophyta; Pinopsida; Pinales; Pinaceae.